Molecule: ribosomal RNA, 460 nt
Filed under: uncultured bacterium
Lineage: Bacteria
Description: partial 16S ribosomal RNA
Rfam family: Bacterial small subunit ribosomal RNA
Source: RNAcentral
CCUACGGGAGGCAGCAGUGAGGAAUAUUGGUCAAUGGACGCAAGUCUGAACCAGCCAAGCCGCGUGAAGGAUGACGGCACUAUGUGUCGUAAACCUCUUUUGUACGAGGGCAAACCCUGAUACGCGUACCCGGUUGAAUGUACCUUACGAAUAAGCAUCGGCUAACUCCGUGCCAGCAGCCGCGGUAAUACGGAGGAUCCGAGCGUUAUCCGGAUUUAUUGGGUUUAAAGGGUGCGUAGGCGGUUUGAUAAGUUAGAGGUGAAAUGUCGGGGCUCAACCCCGAAACUGCCUCUAAUACUGUUGGACUAGAGAAUAGUAGAGGUAGGCGGAAUGUAUGGUGUAGCGGUGAAAUGCUUAGAGAUCAUACAGAACACCGAUUGCGAAGGCAGAUUACCAAACUAUAACUGACGUUGAGGCACGAAAGCGUGGGUAGCAAACAGGAUUAGAUACCCCUGUAGUC